RNAcentral lists this ribosomal RNA (468 nucleotides) under uncultured bacterium. RNAcentral describes it as "partial 16S ribosomal RNA". It matches the Rfam family "Bacterial small subunit ribosomal RNA", at positions 28 to 507 of the family's 1533-position model. The record is from RNAcentral.
GACGAACGCUGGCGGCGUGCUUAACACAUGCAAGUCGAACGGAAAGGCCCUGCUUUUGUGGGGUGCUCGAGUGGCGAACGGGUGAGUAACACGUGAGUAACCUGCCCUUGACUUUGGGAUAACCUCAGGCCACUUGGGCUCAUACCGGAUAGGAGCUCUUGCUGAAUGGUGGGGGUUGGAAAGUUUCGGCGGUUGGGGUAGGACUCGCGGCGCAUCAGCUUGUUGGUGGGGUGGUGUCUUAGCAAGGCUGUGCCCGGUAGCCGGCCUGCGAGGGUAACAUGACACGUUGGGAUUGGAAUACGACACAGCCUCCUACGGGAGGCAGCGGUGGGGAAGAGUGCACUAGGGGCGGAAGCCUGAUGCAGCAACGCCGCGUGCGGGAUGACGGCCUUCGGGUUGUAAACCGCUUUCGCCUGUGACGAAGCGUGAGUGACGGUAAUGGGUAAAGAAGCACCGGCUAACUACGUG